Molecule: ribosomal RNA, 254 nt
Filed under: uncultured bacterium
Lineage: Bacteria
Description: partial 16S ribosomal RNA
Rfam family: Bacterial small subunit ribosomal RNA
Source: RNAcentral
UACGAAGGGGGCUAGCGUUGUUCGGAUUUACUGGGCCGAUAAGCGCACGUAGGCGGAUCGUUAAGUCGGGGGUGAAAUCCUGGAGCUCAACUCCAGAACUGCCUUCGAUACUGGCGAUCUUGAGUCCGGAAGAGGUGAGUGGAACUCCUAGUGUAGAGGUGGAAUUCGUAGAUAUUAGGAAGAACACCAGUGGCGAAGGCGGCUCACUGGUCCGGUACUGACGCUGAGGUGCGAAAGCGUGGGGAGCAAACAGG